RNAcentral lists this ribosomal RNA (372 nucleotides) under uncultured bacterium. RNAcentral's name for it is "partial 16S ribosomal RNA". It matches the Rfam family "Bacterial small subunit ribosomal RNA", at positions 338 to 707 of the family's 1533-position model. The record is from RNAcentral.
CCUACGGGUGGCAGCAGUGAGGAAUAUUGGUCAAUGGGCGAGAGCCUGAACCUGCCAAGUCGCGUGAAGGAUUAAGGAUCUAUGGUUUGUAAACUUCUUUUAUAUGGGAGUAAAUUAAGGAACGUGUUCCAUUUUGUAUGUACCAUAUGAAUAAUCUUCGGCUAACUCCGUUCCAGCAGCCGCGGUAAUACUGGUGCUGCGAGCGUUAUCCGGAUUUAUUGGGUUUAAAGGUGGCGUAGGUGGUUAAUUAAGUCAGAGGUGAAAGUUCGUGGCUCAACCAUAACAUUGCCGUUGAAACUGGUUGACUUGAGGAUAUGUGAGGUAGGCGGAAUGCGUGGUGUAGCAGUGAAAUGCAUAGAGAUCACGAAGAAC